RNAcentral lists this transfer RNA (78 nucleotides) under Deinococcus metalli. RNAcentral's name for it is "tRNA-Asp". The record is from RNAcentral. Lineage: Bacteria; Thermotogati; Deinococcota; Deinococci; Deinococcales; Deinococcaceae.
AGGGCGCUGGAGAGGUCGUUCACACCCUUGUCGCGGUUGUUGGCAGUGGCGAUCAGGUUGAAACCCUGGACGGCCUGC